ACAGAGGUGUUGUACUGCUUGGAUAAAACAGUGUCUUAGCAGAUGUAUGGAAUAGAGAAAGCAGAUGUAUAGAAUGGAGAAACCAAAUGGGAUGUGACCAAGCGUGUUCUUAAUUGAUCUCUGCAUUGAUUUCCAUGACUAGAAGGCAUAGGUCAUCCAUGUGACAACACAAUCCUGUAAAUGGGACUAACAUCAGCAAAUUGUAUAUAUGACAAUCAAGG
Lagopus leucura (white-tailed ptarmigan) is the source of this 221-nucleotide long non-coding RNA. RefSeq lists it as uncharacterized. The record is from RefSeq and is a predicted model, not a curated record. Lineage: Eukaryota; Metazoa; Chordata; Aves; Galliformes; Phasianidae. The transcript has 3 exons.